GACAUACUCCCUCCGUACGGAAGUACGGAAUUACUCGUCCAAGAAAUGAAUGUAUCUGAAUGUAUUUUAGUUGUAGAUACAUCCAUUUUUAUCCAUUUUUGUGACAAGUAAUUCCGAACGGAGGGAGCACAUG
Triticum aestivum (bread wheat) is the source of this 133-nucleotide non-coding RNA. NCBI's taxonomy places the organism in Eukaryota, Viridiplantae, Streptophyta, Magnoliopsida, Poales, Poaceae. The record is from Rfam.